ACUCUCCGAGUCGCACCUGGAGAGUUUCCAGUAUUCUACCAGUCUUGACUACGGGAGGGAGAGUCAAGCAGAGGCAUAUCCAUUCCAUUCCUAGCUUGGGCAGUGGCUAGUGAGUGGAAGGUCAUCUGCUACAAGU
RNAcentral lists this small nucleolar RNA (136 nucleotides) under Ornithorhynchus anatinus (platypus). Lineage: Eukaryota; Metazoa; Chordata; Mammalia; Monotremata; Ornithorhynchidae. The record is from RNAcentral.